UGUCGACAGGAAGCUGAAGAACCUGAAGAGGGAGAUAUGUUGUCUAUCGACUGUGAGGACAACAGCCCAACUACGUCCAAGAAAGAAGCUGGCACAGUGAGGGAGGAUGAGAGUGAGACAACUGUUUUAUCCUCCAAGAAAUCUCCACGCACUAAAAAUAAAAUGUCACCGAAGAGAAAAUGGAACCUCAGGGAAAGGAGGUCCAAAAAGUUCAAGAUGUCCCCGUAGCUCAAAACCAGAGUGGCCAAAAAUGCAAAGUCGAGGGAAGACAAACUAAAAAUACAAAAAAAUGGCUUUUUAAAAAAAUAACUGCCCCUACAUAUUUAGUAUUUUAAGGAU
Long non-coding RNA from Xyrauchen texanus (razorback sucker), 339 nucleotides. RefSeq lists it as uncharacterized. The record is from RefSeq and is a predicted model, not a curated record. NCBI's taxonomy places the organism in Eukaryota, Metazoa, Chordata, Actinopteri, Cypriniformes, Catostomidae. The transcript has 4 exons.